RNAcentral lists this unclassified non-coding RNA (520 nucleotides) under Hevea brasiliensis (rubber tree). The record is from RNAcentral. Lineage: Eukaryota; Viridiplantae; Streptophyta; Magnoliopsida; Malpighiales; Euphorbiaceae.
ACAAGAAGAGGAUAUGUUACAACAGUAGCCCCAAGCUUUGCCAAAGCUCCAAGAAGAAAUAUCUCCAAAGCAGUGACCCUGUUACCACCCUUCUUACUCAAGGCGCGUUGUUUCUUGAGCUUCUUCAACAUGAUUUCAUAAAGCAUGAAUUGUAUGGAAGGAUUACUUACCAUGAUCAAUGUUGGGAAUACGCCUUNNNNNNAACUCCAGCUUCAUCAUAGACUUCUUGAAUUGCAUGAUUAGUUCCAUAUGGAGGAGGCUCAAUUGCAUCUAGAACAGUUUCGUCUGUGGCAACUGACAAUGAGCUACUUGGCUGGGAUUUCUUUGACACUUUUGUAUGAGUCUGCAUUCGUGCAACAACUACCCAAAUGGGAUUUGUCAGCAGCACAUUUACACAGCCAGACAAGGCAGCCACAACAAGUGAUGAGAACAUCCCGACUGUUCCAUCACCAAAUCCUUUUCUCUUACGUUCAAAUGCAAUAGCUUCAGCUCUGUCCCUGAAUAUUUGAUAGAAAUAAUA